UGUAAGGAUUCUGUGAGCUUCCUGGAAUGUGGAACACCUACAAAUACAAGAAUAUCUUUCCAGAGACUAUGUCCAGUUGUCCUAGUAACACAGACAAUACAAGGCUACUGUCCUCUUCUGCUUGCAGGAAAACUAUCCACUGUUCUUUUGGGAGGUGCAGGAGUCCAUGAAGUUCUCAGAGAAAGGUCACACAACCAUGCUGUUGGGAGUGUGAACAAAGGGCUGGACUGGAAUCAUCUGAGAGAGAGGCUGUCACAGAGCAGAAGAGGAACAGCUUCACCAUCUCAUUUGCUUUUUUGAAUGGCUCAAAUUAAAGUUGCACAUU
Molecule: non-coding RNA, 325 nt
Organism: Chiloscyllium plagiosum (whitespotted bambooshark)
Lineage: Eukaryota; Metazoa; Chordata; Chondrichthyes; Orectolobiformes; Hemiscylliidae
Source: RefSeq, a predicted model, not a curated record